GGCUACCGCUAUUGGAGUUCGAUUAAGCCAUGCGAGUCGAGAGUCCUCGGGACUCGGCGUACCGCUCAGUAACACGUGGGUAACCUGCCCUAUGCUGGGGAAUAACCUCGGGAAACUGAGAAUAAUGCCCCAUAGCCCACUACGCCUGGAACGGUGAGUGGGUCAAAGCCCCGGCGGCAUAGGAUGGGCCUGCGCCGUAUCAGGUUGUAGGGGGUGUAAAGUACCCUCUAGCUAUCAACGCGUACGGGUGUUGGGAGACAUUGCCCGGAGAUGGAUUCUGAGACACGAAUCCAGACCCUACGGGGUGCAGCAGGCGCGAAAACUUGGCAAUGCGAGCAAUCGUGACCAGGGAACUCCAAGUGCGUAGGGUAAGACCUACGCUUUUCUUGACUCUUCAAAGGUCUUGGAAUAAGGGGUGGGUAAGGACGGUGCCAGCCGCCGCGGUAAUACCGGCGCCUCAAGUGGUAGUCGCUUUUAUUGGGCCUAAAACGUCCGUAGCCGGUCUGGUGCAUUCGUGGGUAAAUCAACCCGCUCAACGGGUUGAAUUCUGCGAGCACGGCCAGACUUGGGACCGGGAGAGGUGUGGGGUACUCUCAGGGUAGGGGUAAAAUCCUGUCAUACUGAGAGGACCACCUGUUGCGAAGGCGCCACACUAGAACGGAUCCGACGGUCAGGGACGAAACCUAGGGGCACGAACCGGAUUAGAUACCCGGGUAGUCCUAGGUGUAAACGCUGUGGACUUGAUGUUGGGGGCGCUCCGAGCGCUCUCAGUGUCGAAGCGAAGGUGAUAAGUCCACUGCCUGGGGAGUACGGUCGCAAGGCUGAAACUUAAAGGAAUUGGCGGGGGAGCACUGCAACCUGAGGAUUGUGCGGUUU
Molecule: ribosomal RNA, 876 nt
Filed under: uncultured Candidatus Poseidoniales archaeon
Lineage: Archaea; Methanobacteriati; Thermoplasmatota; Candidatus Poseidoniia; Candidatus Poseidoniales
Description: bacterial SSU rRNA
Rfam family: Archaeal small subunit ribosomal RNA
Source: RNAcentral